UACAGAGGGGGCAAGCGUUAUUCGGAAUUAUUGGGCGUAAAGGGCGCGUAGGCGGCUUUGCAAGUGGCGGGUGAAAUCCCUCGGCUUAACCGAGGAACUGCCUGUCAAACUGCAUGGCUUGAGACCGGGAGAGGUGAGUGGAAUUCCCAGUGUAGCGCUGAAAUGCGUAGAUAUUGGGAGGAACACCAGUGGCGAAGGCGGCUCACUGGACCGGUACUGACGCUGAUGCGCGAAAGCGUGGGGAGCAAACAGG
RNAcentral lists this ribosomal RNA (253 nucleotides) under uncultured bacterium. RNAcentral describes it as "partial 16S ribosomal RNA". It matches the Rfam family "Bacterial small subunit ribosomal RNA", at positions 524 to 776 of the family's 1533-position model. The record is from RNAcentral.